This 255-nucleotide ribosomal RNA is filed under the name uncultured bacterium. RNAcentral's name for it is "partial 16S ribosomal RNA". It matches the Rfam family "Bacterial small subunit ribosomal RNA", at positions 524 to 776 of the family's 1533-position model. The record is from RNAcentral.
UACGUAGGAGGCGAGCGUUGUCCGGAAUUACUGGGUGUAAAGAGCGUGUAGGCGGCACGUUAAGUUCAGGGUGAAAGCGCCCGGCUCAACCGGGCAGAGUCCCGUGGAAACUGGCGGGCUGGAGGUCGGUAGAGGCGCGUGGAAUUCCCGGUGUAGUGGUGAAAUGCGUAGAGAUCGGGAGGAACACCAGUGGCGAAGGCGGCGCGCUGGGCCGGACCUGACGCUGAGACGGCGAAGGCGUGGGGAGCGAACGGG